Molecule: ribosomal RNA, 409 nt
Filed under: uncultured bacterium
Lineage: Bacteria
Description: bacterial SSU rRNA
Rfam family: Bacterial small subunit ribosomal RNA
Source: RNAcentral
GUGUCAGCCGCCGCGGUAAUACGAGGGAUGCAAGCGUUAUCCGGAUUCACUGGGUUUAAAGGGUGUGCAGGCGGAUCAAUAAGUCAGUGGUGAAAUCCCUCCGCUCAACGGGGGAACUGCCAUCGAUACUGUUGAUCUUGAGUGUAGUUGAGGCGUGUGGAAUAUGACAUGUAGCGGUGAAAUGCGUAGAUAUGUCAUAGAACACCGAUCGCGAAGGCAGCCCGCCAAACUACUACUGACGCUGAAACACGAAAGUGUGGGGAUCAAACAGGAUUAGAUACCCUGGUAGUCCACACCGUAAACGAUGAUCACUCGCUGUUGGCGACAUACUGUCAGCGGCUAAGUAAAAGCAUUAAGUGAUCCACCUGGGGAGUACGACCGCAAGGUUGAAACUCAAAUGAAUUGACGG